This 262-nucleotide long non-coding RNA is filed under the name Falco tinnunculus (common kestrel). RNAcentral's name for it is "lncRNA (ENSFTIG00000005397.1)". Lineage: Eukaryota; Metazoa; Chordata; Aves; Falconiformes; Falconidae. The record is from RNAcentral.
UUCAGGCUCUGUUGCUUUGAGGGGACCCCAGGAUCUCCAGGGGAGAGCAAAGGCUGCAGCUACCAACGGAAAAUGCCAGUAUUUGGAAGAAGGAAGGAGCAGUUUGCUAAACCCUGGUGCUUGAGUGAGGAGUCAUUCUGUUCCUGUGCCUUACUCACCUUUUCAACAAUGGAAGAACCCAGGCAGCACUUUCUGGAAAUGCAUCUUGAAGUAGACUGAAAUUUGUCCUCUGUGGCUCUGACCCUGGCUCCCAGGCUAGGCA